CAGAGGCCCCUUGUGCCGAGCUGUUCUCAGCUUGCUGAGUCUGCGCUCACGUGAGUUUUGGAUCCCAGAAGAGGCCCACACUGGUAGAAAGGACUGCCGGAAAAGAACAAUUUCACUGGUGUUAGAGCAUUUUGAGCCCUGCAGUAGCCGUCCCUCACGACUCAUCAUUCCCUCGGGCAAAGACUGUGCAGGAACAGACACGACUUCAGGGCAGCCUCACUCCUGAUGACACCUGAGCUUGUGGAGGAGCAAGUCUACUUCACCGUUGGGUCACUAUUAGAACCCAGGUAACUCUGG
Molecule: non-coding RNA, 297 nt
Organism: Leptonychotes weddellii (Weddell seal)
Lineage: Eukaryota; Metazoa; Chordata; Mammalia; Carnivora; Phocidae
Source: RefSeq, a predicted model, not a curated record